This 429-nucleotide ribosomal RNA is filed under the name Chloroflexota bacterium. Its description in RNAcentral is "Chloroflexi bacterium partial 16S ribosomal RNA". It matches the Rfam family "Bacterial small subunit ribosomal RNA", at positions 355 to 776 of the family's 1533-position model. The record is from RNAcentral. Lineage: Bacteria; Bacillati; Chloroflexota.
UGGGGAAUAUUGCACAAUGGGCGCAAGCCUGAUGCAGCCAUGCCGCGUGUAUGAAGAAGGCCUUCGGGUUGUAAAGUACUUUCAGCGGGGAGGACGGGAGUAAAGUUAAUACCUUUGCUCAUUGACGUUACCCGCAGAAGAAGCACCGGCUAACUCCGUGCCAGCAGCCGCGGUAAUACGGAGGGUGCAAGCGUUAAUCGGAAUUACUGGGCGUAAAGCGCACGCAGGCGGUUUGUUAAGUCAGAUGUGAAAUCCCCGGGCUCAACCUGGGAACUGCAUCUGAUACUGGCAAGCUUGAGUCUCGUAGAGGGGGGUAGAAUUCCAGGUGUAGCGGUGAAAUGCGUAGAGAUGUGGAGGAAUACCGGUGGCGAAGGCGGCCCCCUGGACAAAGACUGACGCUCAGGUGCGAAAGCGUGGGGAGCAAACAGG